Oryza glumipatula is the source of this 205-nucleotide non-coding RNA. The record is from Rfam. NCBI's taxonomy places the organism in Eukaryota, Viridiplantae, Streptophyta, Magnoliopsida, Poales, Poaceae.
AAAAAGACAAACCCUGGGUUUCCGUGUCCAACUUUAGCUAUCUGUCUUAUAUGAAAUUUUUUUAUAAUUCGUAUUUUCAUUGUUAUUAGAUGAUAAAACAUGAUUAAUAUUUUAUGCGUGACUUGUCUUUUUAUUUUUUUUUAUAAUUUUCUCAAAUAAGACGGACGGUCAAACGUUGGGCACGGAAACCAGGGUUUGUCUUUUU